AUUGGUUGAGGCCUAUGCUCAACCUACCUUUGAGAUAUCCUACCUUUGUAAAUGUUCUAGGCCCAUAUGAAAGAGUGCAGUGACCACAUAAGACUGAGACCUGUUCUGCCUUAUACUUCAUUCUGGGAACGCUGAUCAUAGAGUUUUUAUUAAAACAAAGGGCUAAUAUAUAGUGCAGUCUGGAGACUAAUGAAAAAAAAAAAAACAGUACAAAUAAGCCCCCCUCCCCAAUAUUCUUUGCCUUUAGUCUUUUUUAGCCACGUUAUAGACUAUCAAGAGGCCAACUAUGGGAGGCAUCAGACAUAGAUAGGCUGAUGGCCUCUCUUAACCUCUUAUUCUAUCCGAAUCUUAGACAUCGGUUCACUCCGAUUAAAGUUAUUAAACUAGUAUAUAAUGGUCAGGCGGUGGUGGUGCACACCUUUAAUCUCAGCACUCGGGAGGCAGGGAAACCCUGUCUCAAAAAAAACAAAAACAAAAAACCUAGUAUAUAAUGUCCACCAUUUGUGACACAGAGAAUAGUAGGAAACAAUGAUCAUCUUUAAGAAACUUUGGCAAAGAUCCAUCAGAAUUGAUCCCCCUGUACUGUCACUGUGAGCUACAUCAGAGGCUUGAAAAAUGGAAAGUGCACGAUGGUCCCUUCAUCAGCCCUUCACAUGGGCACAUGAAUAUUCACGUUUCCACACUUCUACAUAAUGCUGCAUUUCUUGGUUUUAUUUGAAACAGUGCAUAUUUUAAGCAUUUUAUGGAAGGAUUUUACACUUGUCAUUUACACAAAUUACAAGGUUCGGCUUAAAGUCUUUAAAAAAAUUCUAAAAAUCCAGCCCAUGUGCAGCACAAGAAUAUGCAAAACUACUUUACAGUAUACACACUUUUUAUCAAAGGAGAUACAAAAUUCUGGCUUGUAGUUUUAGACAAAUACAAGAAGCUUCAAACUAGACACAAAGGGUUAACAUUAAUUCUCAAUUUUAAGUCUGCACUUUUGUGUUGUAUUUCUCUGAGAUGUAAAUACCAAAUUCCUAAGAGAUUUUAACAUUUUCUUUUUCAAAGAAAACCUGACACAUUUCCAGUAAACAAGUCCCUCUCAAUUUGCUUAAUCCCCAACCAGUUUACUCUUGGUGCCAGAGACCAGGCACUCAUGAGGAACAGACCCUGACAGUAACUGUUUCAAUGCAAAACUCCAAAGAGCUGUAACAGAUGUGAACGCUUCUGCUGUAUUCUGACCAGUGCCCUUAACAUUUAGGAACCUUCUUCCUUACACUGUGUGACUAACUGCUCAACAUAGAGUUCACUGGGUUCCAGCAAAGAAGUUUUGGUAGUGACAAACUGGUGGCCCUAAGUCAAACUUGUAAAUAGAAUAUAGCACUGACUGAAUGAGGGACCUGACUGACGGUAUGCAUAGAUGCUCUGUCAGCAGAUUGGAGGCAACAGGAAGAGCAGGGCUUUUACGCCCUUUCAAGAAAUAUUGUUUCUAUCAUUGGUAUUCACUGUUCUCUAGCCAUCUUCUGACACCUAAACAUGUACAUGUAAAAUACUUAAAAGAAGCCCACCUUUCACCCAGAAUCAAUUUAUAGCCAACUCUCACUUAUCUAUGAGAACCUAAUUGACAUACUAUCAAAGAAUUUCAUUCUGGAGAGUUUUGAUACUUCAGUGAUUUUACACAUCCCAGCAAGACCAAGUCAUAAUGCAAACAGAGCAGCUCGUCCCACUAGGAUUUUGGGUACAAGCCAAGCAGAAACAGUGGAGACAGGCAAAACACCUGAGGAGGAUAAGAGAAAAUUAAUUUCAAACGUCUCCUCAUUCUUGCACAUGUCCAUAGUCCUACAAACCGAGCACCUGAGGCACAGUCACUAUUUUACAUAGAUAAGGGAGAGUUGGCUGUAGUCAUGUCCUUCUGUGACUUUAGCCCUUUCACAUAAAAAUUCCUAAGAAAGCAAAGCAUGAUAAAAAGAUAAGACUUACAUAAGACAUCUAAAAGCAUUUAUUUUAUGCAAAAAUUAAAUAGGAUUAUGUGCACAGAAAUACUGUACACAGUAUCUAUGCUGAACAAUGAAUGCCAAGGAAUACAAUAUUGUAACAGUUGUCUGUAAAAUAAAAAUAAAAACUGAGCCCCAAUUAUCAGACAAAAAUAAAAGGCCUAUUUCCCAACAGCACGGUGCCAGACGUCGAGAGCAUAUCUCUGUCCCUCACAAAGCUGCCAGUGUCCAUCUACUGAUAGUUCCAAAAAAACAAAACAAACCCUAAAAACAAAACCAACCUUUUUUUACAUUAAUAAUAAAAAUCUGGUGACAAUUAUAAAACCAAAUCCUGGACAGUCUUUACUCCCUGAAAACCCAAUUAUUCCAUCAUAAUCACAGGAGUAAAAACCAUUCUAAACUGAUAUGCCUUAUGAAACAAUAUGUACAUUUAUUGCAAAUUAUAUUAAACUAAAAUGGGAGAAAUCAUAAUAUGAAGUGUUUACUACUUGCAGAUCAAUAAUUUUAAUUAUUUUCUCAUUCUGAUAAAAAUCAGAAAGCAACAUUUAUAAAAUUGCCACAUUACUUUUCAUAGCAGGGAACAGAAAUCUGUACAUCUCAUUUUUUGCAGAAAAGUAGACAGGCAGAAAGAAUAAUACAUAAGUUUCCAAAAGGAAAACGAAGAAAUAUGUCAUCUGCUCUCUCGCUUGUAAAGCCUCAGUUCAGUAGACACCUGCUCGCCUGUGUGGCACGGGGUUCUGGGCUCUAGGAUGGACCAGUUCUCAGCAUCAGUGAAUGGACGCCCUGUUCCUCUCUAAAAUGAAAUCUGCAGCAUGGAAAAAAUGGUUACUAUGCCUUUAAGUUCCAGAUAUGCAGGACCUGGAACCAAGUGUUAAGCAAUUUGCUUAAUUAUUGACUUUUCCCAGGAAAAGUCUGGGGGAGGGGAAGAACAGAGAUGCUCUUAGCCUCUCUAGAGUCUGCUGUACAUUUCACCAGAGGACUUAGGCUGUGUAAAAAGGAAGGCUAGCUUCGUUCAGUUUUCAAGGCAGAAAGUGUGUAUUUGAAGUGAGCUUCGUUUUCUGUUUGGGGACAUUGGAAUCCAAGUUUUUACAGAACCUGGACUCUGCUUCUGUUUGGCCUUCGUUUUCUCCUUUUACCUUGGGAACAGAAGAACACAAAGUUAGAACCAUCUAAGUUUGUGAAAUAAAACUUCAUUAAGCUACAUAAAACUAAAGAACAAUAUGCAAGUUUCUAUUCGAUAGCCAAGUUCUGUGGUCAAGACUAAUCUGUUUAAAAUGCUAACACCGUUCAUCUCAAAAAACUACAGAUUUUCAAUCAAUUCUUUCAAAAAUGAAAUUAUAGGACAAAAUACUACACAUUAGACAGUAAAUUUACAAAAAACAAGGGUAUAUUUUGAUGGGGGGGGG
Molecule: long non-coding RNA, 3379 nt
Filed under: Mus musculus (house mouse)
Lineage: Eukaryota; Metazoa; Chordata; Mammalia; Rodentia; Muridae
Description: long non-coding RNA chr5:65607086-65610465
Source: RNAcentral